UACGAAGGGGGCUAGCGUUGCUCGGAAUCACUGGGCGUAAAGCGCACGUAGGCGGCUUUGUAAGUUAGAGGUGAAAGCCCGGGGCUCAACUCCGGAAUUGCCUUUAAGACUGCAUCGCUAGAAUUGUGGAGAGGUAAGUGGAAUUCCGAGUGUAGAGGUGAAAUGCGUAGAUAUCUGGAGGAACACCGGUGGCGAAGGCGGCAUCCUGGACCAACACUGACGCUGAGUGAGCGAAAGCCAGGGGAGCAAACGGG
This 254-nucleotide ribosomal RNA is filed under the name uncultured bacterium. RNAcentral's name for it is "partial 16S ribosomal RNA". It matches the Rfam family "Bacterial small subunit ribosomal RNA", at positions 524 to 776 of the family's 1533-position model. The record is from RNAcentral.